RNAcentral lists this ribosomal RNA (301 nucleotides) under uncultured bacterium. Its description in RNAcentral is "partial 16S ribosomal RNA". It matches the Rfam family "Bacterial small subunit ribosomal RNA", at positions 509 to 807 of the family's 1533-position model. The record is from RNAcentral.
CAGUAGCCGCGGUAAUACGAAGGGUGCAAGCGUUACUCGGAAUUACUGGGCGUAAAGCGUGCGUAGGUGGUGGUUUAAGUCCGUUGUGAAAGCCCUGGGCUCAACCUGGGAAUUGCAGUGGAUACUGGAUCACUAGAGUGUGGUAGAGGAUAGUGGAAUUUCCGGUGUAGCAGUGAAAUGCGUAGAGAUUGGAAGGAACAUCUGUGGCGAAGGCGACUAUCUGGGCCAACACUGACACUGAGGCACGAAAGCGUGGGGAGCAAACAGGAUUAGAUACCCCCGUAGUCCCUGUCUCUUAUAC